Molecule: ribosomal RNA, 429 nt
Filed under: bacterium
Lineage: Bacteria
Description: partial 16S ribosomal RNA
Rfam family: Bacterial small subunit ribosomal RNA
Source: RNAcentral
UAGGGAAUCUUCGGCAAUGGGGGCAACCCUGACCGAGCAACGCCGCGUGAGUGAAGAAGGUUUUCGGAUCGUAAAGCUCUGUUGUAAGAGAAGAACGUGUGUGAGAGUGGAAAGUUCACACAGUGACGGUAACUUACCAGAAAGGGACGGCUAACUACGUGCCAGCAGCCGCGGUAAUACGUAGGUCCCGAGCGUUGUCCGGAUUUAUUGGGCGUAAAGCGAGCGCAGGCGGUUUAAUAAGUCUGAAGUUAAAGGCAGUGGCUUAACCAUUGUUCGCUUUGGAAACUGUUAAACUUGAGUGCAGAAGAGGAGAGUGGAAUUCCAUGUGUAGCGGUGAAAUGCGUAGAUUUAUGGAGGAACACCGGUGGCGAAAGCGGCUCUCUGGUCUGUAACUGACGCUGAGGCUCGAAAGCGUGGGGAGCAAACAGG